UACGGGGGGGGUAAGCGUUGUUCGGAAUUACUGGGCGUAAAGGGCUCGUAGGCGGCCAACUAAGUCGGACGUGAAAUCCCUCAGCUUAACUGGGGAACUGCGUCCGAUACUGGAUGGCUUGGAUUUGGGAGAGGGAUGCGGAAUUCCAGGUGUAGCGGUGAAAUGCGUAGAUACCUGGAGGAACACCGGUGGCGAAGGCGGCAUCCUGGACCAAUAUUGACGCUGAGGAGCGAAAGCCAGGGGAGCAAACGGG
This 253-nucleotide ribosomal RNA is filed under the name uncultured bacterium. Its description in RNAcentral is "partial 16S ribosomal RNA". It matches the Rfam family "Bacterial small subunit ribosomal RNA", at positions 524 to 776 of the family's 1533-position model. The record is from RNAcentral.